CUUGAGCUCUAUAAGAGGUCCAGCCUGCCCAGUGACUCUGUUCAACGGCCGCGGUAUCCUAACCGUGCGAAGGUAGCGUAAUCACUUGUUCUUUAAAUGCGGACUAGUAUGAAUGGCACUACGAGGGUUAUACUGUCUCCUUUUUCUAAUCAGUGAAACUAAUUUUCCCGUGAAGAAGCGGGGAUAUAACUAUAAGACGAGAAGACCCUAUGGAGCUUUAAACAACCCAGCAAUUACUUCUAAAAUUAUAAAUUUCAGAAUAUCCACUUUUUAAGUUAUAUGUCUGCAAGUUUUUGGUUGGGGUGACCAUGGAGUAUAACAUAACCUCCAUAUUGAAUGAAUUCCCUUCUAAGCUAAAAAUUACCAAUUGAAGCAUCAACAUACUGACAUCUAUUGACCCAAUAUAUUUGAUCAACGAAC
Molecule: ribosomal RNA, 420 nt
Filed under: Rhinella martyi group sp. ABGD cluster 21
Lineage: Eukaryota; Metazoa; Chordata; Amphibia; Anura; Bufonidae
Description: partial large subunit ribosomal RNA
Rfam family: Bacterial large subunit ribosomal RNA
Source: RNAcentral